GAUGAACGCUGGCGGCGUGCCUAAUACAUGCAAGUCGAGCGAACAGACGAGGAGCUUGCUCCUCUGACGUUAGCGGCGGACGGGUGAGUAACACGUGGAUAACCUACCUAUAAGACUGGGAUAACUUCGGGAAACCGGAGCUAAUACCGGAUAACAUGUUGAACCGCAUGGUUCAACAGUGAAAGACGGUCUUGCUGUCACUUAUAGAUGGAUCCGCGCCGCAUUAGCUAGUUGGUAAGGUAACGGCUUACCAAGGCAACGAUGCGUAACCGGCCUGAGAGGGUGAUCGGCCACACUGGAACUGAGACACGGUCCAGACUCCUACGGGAGGCAGCAGUAGGGAAUCUUCCGCAAUGGGCGAAAGCCUGACGGAGCAACGCCGCGUGAGUGAAGAAGGUCUUCGGAUCGUAAAACUCUGUUAUUAGGGAAGAACAAAUGUGUAAGUAACUAUGCACGUCUUGACGGUACCUAAUCAGAAAGCCACGGCUAACUACGU
RNAcentral lists this ribosomal RNA (496 nucleotides) under uncultured bacterium. RNAcentral's name for it is "partial 16S ribosomal RNA". It matches the Rfam family "Bacterial small subunit ribosomal RNA", at positions 28 to 506 of the family's 1533-position model. The record is from RNAcentral.